This 384-nucleotide long non-coding RNA is filed under the name Cotesia glomerata. RNAcentral describes it as "uncharacterized LOC123273005, transcript variant X1". Lineage: Eukaryota; Metazoa; Arthropoda; Insecta; Hymenoptera; Braconidae. The record is from RNAcentral.
AUUAUUCAACAAUUACCAACGUGAGAAUGGACAGAAUAUUAUUCUAUUGGAUUAUUUAAAAUUUUCGAUAUGACGUCUACAGAUGAAAAAUCUCAAGAAAAUUGACCUACACUGUACGAGAAACUUUAAACGAUUGAGUGCAUUUGAAGAUGGAAAACUAAAAUACCACUGCGACCACGAGGGCUAAAAUUGCCGGAAACAGUCAUUUUUAAAACCUGAAUUUUCUUGUGGGAAAAUUUGAACGUGGAAAUUUUUUUAAAUCAAGCUAACUGUGCCGCAGUAUGACCAUUAUUAUCAACGACAUCCGCAGAAGUUUUAUCAACCAAGAGCUUCCAAACACUCAGCGACCCAGCAAGAGCUGCUCGAUGGAGUGCAGUAUAUCCA